GGGGCGGCGAGGCGAGGCCUGCGGAGCGGAGGAAGACAAACAUAAAGAUGAAGUGCUUAAUUCAAGGUCACACAAUGUCGGGGAUGGACCUCCAGAUUUCCUUACUGACCUGCAUUAUCUUGUGGAUACCUGAGUGAAUUCCACACCACCCAUUUUAUAGAUGAAACCACUGAGACAUGGAGCAAUUGACUGAGUAGUCACUGCCCCACCCCUGCCUGGAGCCUCACACAUGACUCGCCUCCUCUCAGUGACCACAGGUUGGUUGAGGGGUUUAACAAGGCUAAGAAGAGACGGAGUCUUGCUAUGUUGCCCAGGCUGGUCUUGAACUCCUCACCUCAAGCGAUCCUCCCGUCUUGGCCUCCCAAGUGUCAGGAUUACGGGCAUGUGCUAUCACACCCAACCUGAUACAUUGCCUUUAUAAAUUUUUUUUUCUUUAUUCUAAAAACCAGAAAAAACAAAACUGGAUACAUGUGCAGAACAUGCAGGUGAGACGUGGUCUUGUAACACAGUGGUUAAGAAUGUGACUUUGGAGCCAGCCUGCUAGGGGCUGAAUUCUGACUCAGCCAUUUACUAACUGUGUGACCUUAGGUAAGUCAUUUACCUUCUUUGUCCCUCAGUUUCAUCUCGGUUAAGUAGGGAUAAUGAUAGCACCUAUUUUAUAGGGUUAUUGUGAGGAAUAAAUCCAAGUAAAAUGCUUAGAAUAGUAACUGAAACAUAGCACUCAUUAGGAAUGCUUUAAUUUUCAUUUAUUUGAGUAUUAAAGGUUGAAUUUUC
RNAcentral lists this long non-coding RNA (774 nucleotides) under Homo sapiens (human). RNAcentral's name for it is "PCBP1 antisense RNA 1". The record is from RNAcentral. Lineage: Eukaryota; Metazoa; Chordata; Mammalia; Primates; Hominidae.